ACUCAAAUGAAUAGACGGGGGCCCGCACAAGCGGUGGAGCAUGUGGUUUAAUUCGACGCAACGCGAAGAACCUUACCUGGGCUCGAACGGCUGCGGAAGAUUGGUGGAAACACCGGUUGCCCCGCAAGGGGCCGUAGUCGAGGUGCUGCAUGGCUGUCGUCAGCUCGUGUCGUGAGAUGUUGGGUUAAGUCCCGCAACGAGCGCAACCCUUGUCCUGUUUUGGCAUGUCUUUCAAAGGACGCAACUAUCAGGAGACCGCCAGCGAUAAGUUGGAGGAAGGUGGGGAUGACGUCAAGUCAUCAUGGCCUUUAUGUCCAGGGCUACACACGUGCUACAAUGGACGGUACAAAGCGCUGCCAACCCGCGAGGGGGAGCUAAUCGCAAAAAACCGUCCUCAGUUCGGAUUGCAGGCUGCAACUCGCCUGCAUGAAGCUGGAAUCGCUAGUAAUGGCAUAUCAGAACGAUGCCGUGAAUACGUUCCCGGGCCUUGUACACACCGCCCGU
This 504-nucleotide ribosomal RNA is filed under the name uncultured bacterium. RNAcentral describes it as "partial 16S ribosomal RNA". It matches the Rfam family "Bacterial small subunit ribosomal RNA", at positions 899 to 1397 of the family's 1533-position model. The record is from RNAcentral.